This 300-nucleotide microRNA precursor is filed under the name Lolium arundinaceum. Its description in RNAcentral is "Festuca arundinacea miR1122 stem-loop (far-MIR1122)". The stretch from base 89 to 223 matches the Rfam family "MIR1120/MIR1122 microRNA precursor family". Lineage: Eukaryota; Viridiplantae; Streptophyta; Magnoliopsida; Poales; Poaceae. The record is from miRBase by way of RNAcentral.
UCUAAAGAAGUUAUUCGCUACAAGUUAACAAGAUGACCGGGCAUUGUACACUCAAUGACCUCACAAUAAGCACCAUUUCAUCAAAAAAUUACUACUACCUCCGUCUAAAAAUAAGUGUCUUAGUUUUGUCUAGAUUCAGAUGUAUCUAAACAUAUUUUAGUUGUAGAUACAUCCGUAUCUAGAAAAAGUUGAGACACUUAUUUUUGUACGGAGGGAGUAGAAUAUUUGUUAUGAAACCCAGGACAUGAGUUGUUAUCAUACAAUCUUGUGGUACAUGAAGAGAUAACAAAACGAAGAAGU